UACCAAAACGCUCAAUAAGCAAGAAAAUGGAGAUGGAUGUUGAAAAUGAUGUCAGUGACUCUGAUGAGGAUUAUAAUGAGGAAGAAGAUGAUGAUGAUGACGAUGAUGACUCCACUCUGAUUUCAUCACUAAGGAGAUCAAACUCUUCAAAAUGUAAAAGAAAUCAGACUAAAGAUUGCAGAGCUUCAAAUGAGAAACCAACCUCCAAGAAAAUCAAAGAUGAUUCAAACAGUCUGAUUUCAUCACUAAGGAGAUCAAACCCUUCAAAAUGUAAAAGAAAUCAGGCUAAAGAUUGCAGAGCUUCAACUGAAAAACCAACCUCCAAGAAAAUCAAAGAUGAUUCAAACAAGAAAGAAAAGUCCAACGAAAAGCAGGAGGAAAAGGAAGAGGAAAUCAAGGACACCAAACAAAAUGAUGUUAACAAUACCCCUCAUCAUGAACGAGUAAUGAGAAAUCGUCGUGCUGCUU
RNAcentral lists this long non-coding RNA (468 nucleotides) under Lactuca sativa (garden lettuce). Its description in RNAcentral is "long non-coding RNA (LSAT_LNC000972)". The record is from RNAcentral. Lineage: Eukaryota; Viridiplantae; Streptophyta; Magnoliopsida; Asterales; Asteraceae.